CUGCUGAAAUUUCCCCAUUCAACUUAUUUUUGUCUUCUCACUUGGCAAUGGAAAAAAUCCUCAGUGACUUUCAACAUGUAUGUAACUGCUGAUAUAUCAGGCCCUUCAAGGCAAAGUUCAGCGAUUAUAAAUCUUACUUGAAAGCAGUUUCAAGAGAAAGAUUCACAUUUGCUAUCUCUGGCUUGAAAAUUGCAAAUUAGCUACCUUCCCUCACCUG
Molecule: long non-coding RNA, 217 nt
Filed under: Cyanistes caeruleus (blue tit)
Lineage: Eukaryota; Metazoa; Chordata; Aves; Passeriformes; Paridae
Description: lncRNA (ENSCCEG00000020028.1)
Source: RNAcentral